UAUAGGCUAAAUCACUGAUUUACAUACCUAAGUAAGUAAUUUAUUAAUAAAUCAUGUAUUUUAAUUGGGCCCCCCUAAGCCAAAAUGCUGGCUCCGUCACUGCUUAUAUAGCAGCCGAAAUCAGUUUCCAAAUUCUGAUCAAUCUUGGGCUCCAUUAAUUAUAUAAAAAUAACAUGAAAGCAAGUAAUUUCUUUGCAAACACUUCCCUGAUGGUCAUAACUUACAAUGCUCGGAAAUCCACUCCUGCAGGCCUAGGUAGUUGCAAGAAGCUACGAGAAUGCAAGUCAGUUGCAAAAACAGUUAACAAGAACAUCGUAUUAGUUAAAAAUGUCAAAAAUAAAAGGGACAAGAAAAAACUAGAGACCCAAAUUAAAAGGGUUUUAAUCAACAGAUGGAACAUAGUUGUAUAUGCAAAAUAAUGAUGACAUAAUAUAGAACCAAAAAGAUCAUUCAAAUUUAACUGCAAUUCUAAUGGUAGAUUACUCAAACAACAAAACAUAUUGCUGCCAACAUGAAUCUUACCACUACAUAUUGUAAUAGGCCAUCCAAAUGUUGAGGUUUUACAUACACUGCCCCUGUUAUAUAAGAAGCCUGAUAGAUAUGCUUCGCAUGAAAUCAGGAAAGCAAAUUCUCUUGAGUUUGCAAAGAACACUCAUAUAUAUUCUAUAACAAUAGCCUACCUGCUGUAAGAAGGCUGAAUAAUGAGCACUGACAUAACAAGUGUCUAUAGGCACCUGCAGGAGGUGCAAAUCAACAAAAUAUAUGUCACAAUCUUGAAAAGAACAUGAUCCAAAUAUCAGCAGCAAUUGAAAAAAUUCACAGAAGCCUAUUGCAAACUUAACCAAAUGUACACAAUGGGGGAAAAAACGCAAGGUAAUGUGUUCCAUAUGAUUUUAUUCCUUUGAAAUGAAAUAUUACAAAUACCAGCCCACUUUGGCAAUCUGCUUUAGGUAAUAUUCCUACAAAUUAUAAUUUCAUAGAUAUGUGCUAUGUACACGGUAACAUGAUUCAAAACAACACAAAGAUAAUAAGUAACAACUUUCAUUUUUCUUAAAUGGUGAAAACGUUAGCCUUUCUCACACAUUAAAAUACUUAAAUGAACAUAACAGUCUGUCAUCAUGAUUAUAAUCAAGAUAUAUGAAACUAGGAAAUCAAAUUAUUCAAACUUGCAGAAAAGGAAAAGAAAUUUAAGUUAAUAAGCCUAUAAGUUGUUCAAAAGCAUCUUGUCCAGUUCAUUCUAUCAGUUGCCUAGUCAAAUAAGGAUUUGUGCUAUUUACAAUUUACAGAUAAAAUGCUGGAAAAUGAUUUCCUUAUGACAUUUUGGUAAUUAAAUUCAGUGGAAUACAACUAAGAUUCUAAUAUUUAGCUCCUUCAUACCACUUACCACAUAGUGAUUGCCAAAUGGCUUGACACAAAAUAAAACUAUUGAGUAAGCAACAAUAAGCUUUCAAUCAAAUUGCCGCAUACAGAAUAGGAUAAUAAAAAUACAGCCCAAAAGGGAAAAACCCAAUGCACUGUCUCACCAUAGAGCGAUGAGCAGAGAAUAUUGCAUUCAUUUAUCUGGAAAGUCACAACCCCCACCAAAGAAAGAAAGGUCAAGGAUUGAGGGAAAAAAAUAUAUAAAGCCAAAUUCUCGUAAGACAUACUGUUCAGGUCCAUCCAGAGAUCCCUGCAAACACAAAAUUCGAGGUUGAGGAUUUAGCGGCCCUGUGCAAAAAAGCCGUUGCAUAUCUUUCUCCAAUUCAAAUCAAACCAUCAAUAAUAAAAUAAGUUAGUGAGGAAUCGGCAGUUAUCAGCACAUGCAACGCCAGAGCAGGCACUUUUGCGAACUCCCGGUUGCCUAUCUUUCCCCUAAAUACGUACAAUUUUGUUAUAAUGGCCCCUUUUUUCACACACUUACUCGCAUACAACGCAAUAAAGCCUCCAAAUGACACUUAUUACCGUGAGUAAACUUUAGAACAAUGAAUAAAAAAAUAAUACCCAUGAAGGAUACAACAAAGCGCCAUGGACAAUGAAUGACCCCGAAGAAGCGAUCUUCCCUUGAGGCUUCUCCUUUCCCAACUUCUCAUCUCUGAUUAUGAACUCCUCCAAUUUCUGCAACAAAUUGAAGUAAAGCAGGCAAUCUCCCGUCCUCAGAGCUCUGGUUCGUGGCCAAAGACGAAUCAUAAUAUAGUUGCAGGAAUUAUACCCAGCAGCAACCACUACCUCUUGAUUCAGUUGAUUGAGUAGCAAAAGGGAAUUCCAAAAAGCAAGCACCUGCGAGAGAAAUUGGAAAAAUGGGAGAGAAGAAGUGGUCCAGAAGAAUGGAUUGGUGUCUAACAACACCAUCACAAGGCUAACAUCAUC
RNAcentral lists this unclassified non-coding RNA (2346 nucleotides) under Hevea brasiliensis (rubber tree). Lineage: Eukaryota; Viridiplantae; Streptophyta; Magnoliopsida; Malpighiales; Euphorbiaceae. The record is from RNAcentral.